GUCCACGCUGUAAACGAUGUCAACUAGCUGUUGGCCCUUAUUAAUGAGGUUAGUAGCGCAGCAAACGCGAUAAGUUGACCGCCUGGGGAGUACGGUCGCAAGAUUAAAACUCAAAGGAAUUGACGGGGGCCCGCACAAGCGGUGGAGCAUGUGGUUUAAUUCGAUGCAACGCGAAGAACCUUACCUGCUCUUGACAUACAUUGAACCUGGUGGAGACAUCGGGGGUGCCGAAAGGAACAAUGAUACAGGUGCUGCAUGGCUGUCGU
Molecule: ribosomal RNA, 266 nt
Filed under: uncultured bacterium
Lineage: Bacteria
Description: partial 16S ribosomal RNA
Rfam family: Bacterial small subunit ribosomal RNA
Source: RNAcentral